CAAUAGCGUAUAUUAAAGUUGUUGCAGUUAAAAAGCUCGUAGUCGGAUUUCGGGUUUGUCCGCGCGGUCUGCCGUUGGGUAUGCACUGCGUGUGACUUAUCUUUUUCGGGGCAGCGCGCGUUGCUUAAUUGUGGCGUGUGUCUCCUCGCUUUUACUUUGAGAAAAUCAGGGUGUUCAAAGCAGGCCUUUGCCAUUGUAUGUGUUAGCAUGGGAUAAUGGAAUAGGACUCUGGUGCUAUUUUGUUGGUUUCGAACGCCGGGGUAAUGAUUAAUAGGGAUAGUCAGGGGCACUCGUAUUCCGUAGAGAGAGGUGAAAUUCUUAGACCCACGGAAGACGCACUACUGCGAAAGCAUUUGCCAGGGAUGUUUUCACUGA
RNAcentral lists this ribosomal RNA (375 nucleotides) under uncultured eukaryote. RNAcentral's name for it is "partial 18S ribosomal RNA". It matches the Rfam family "Eukaryotic small subunit ribosomal RNA", at positions 592 to 976 of the family's 1831-position model. The record is from RNAcentral.